GACGUAGGGCGCGAGCGUUGUCCGGAUUUAUUGGGCGUAAAGAGCUCGUAGGCGGCUUGUCGCGUCGUCCGUGAAAACUUGGGGCUCAACCCCAAGCUUGCGGUCGAUACGGGCAGGCUCGAGUUCGGUAGGGGAGACUGGAAUUCCUGGUGUAGCGGUGAAAUGCGCAGAUAUCAGGAAGAACACCCGUGGCGAAGGCGGCUCUCUGGUACGGAACUGACGCUGAGACGCGAAAGCGUGGGGAGCGAACAGG
This 253-nucleotide ribosomal RNA is filed under the name uncultured bacterium. Its description in RNAcentral is "partial 16S ribosomal RNA". It matches the Rfam family "Bacterial small subunit ribosomal RNA", at positions 524 to 776 of the family's 1533-position model. The record is from RNAcentral.